This 501-nucleotide ribosomal RNA is filed under the name uncultured bacterium. RNAcentral's name for it is "partial 16S ribosomal RNA". It matches the Rfam family "Bacterial small subunit ribosomal RNA", at positions 29 to 523 of the family's 1533-position model. The record is from RNAcentral.
AUUGAACGCUGGCGGCAGGCCUAACACAUGCAAGUCGCACGCGAAAGGGCCUUCGGGUCCGAGUAGAGUGGCGGACGGGUGAGUAACGCGUAGGAAUCUGUCCUGUAGUGGGGGAUAACCCGGGGAAACCCGGGCUAAUACCGCAUACGCCCCACGGGGGAAAGCGGGGGAUCUUUCGGGACCUCGUGCUAGGAGAGGAGCCUGCGUCGGAUUAGCUGGUUGGUAGGGUAAAGGCCUACCAAGGCGACGAUCCGUAGCUGGUCUGAGAGGAUGAUCAGCCAAACCGGAACUGAGACACGGUCCGGACUCCUACGGGAGGCAGCAGUGGGGAAUAUUGCGCAAUGGGCGAAAGCCUGACGCAGCCAUGCCGCGUGUGUGAAGAAGGACUUCGGGUUGUAAAGCACUUUCAGUGGGGAGGAAAGGGUGCUGGCUAAUAUCCAGCGCAGUUGACGCUACCCACAGAAGAAGCACCGGCUAAUUCCGUGCCAGCCGCCGCCGUAA